CCAACCUUGAAAUACCACCCUUUAAUGUUUGAUGUUCUAACGUUGGCCCCUGACCGGGGUUGCGGACAGUGUCUGGUGGGUAGUUUGACUGGGGCGGUCUCCUCCCAAAGCGUAACGGAGGAGCACGAAGGUUAGCUAAUCCUGGUCGGACAUCAGGAGGUUAGUGCAAUGGCAUAAGCUAGCUUGACUGCGAGCGUGACGGCGCGAGCAGGUGCGAAAGCAGGUCAUAGUGAUCCGGUGGUUCUGAAUGGAAGGGCCAUCGCUCAACGGAUAAAAGGUACUCCGGGGAUAACAGGCUGAUACCGCCCAAGAGUUCAUAUCGACGGCGGUGUUUGGCACCUCGAUGUCGGCUCAUCACAUCCUGGGGCUGAAGUAGGUCCCAAGGGUAUGGCUGUUCGCCAUUUAAAGUGGUACGCGAGCUGGGUUUAGAACGUCGUGAGACAGUUCGGUCCCUAUCUGCCGUGGGCGCUGGAGAAUUGAGGGGGGCUGCUCCUAGUACGAGAGGACCGGAGUGGACGCAUCACUGGUGUUCGGGUUGUCAUGCCAAUGGCACUGCCCGGUAGCUAAAUGCGGAAGAGAUAAGUGCUGAAAGCAUCUAAGCACGAAACUUGCCCCG
RNAcentral lists this ribosomal RNA (616 nucleotides) under Klebsiella pneumoniae. Its description in RNAcentral is "partial 23S ribosomal RNA". It matches the Rfam family "Bacterial large subunit ribosomal RNA", at positions 2186 to 2801 of the family's 2925-position model. The record is from RNAcentral. Lineage: Bacteria; Pseudomonadati; Pseudomonadota; Gammaproteobacteria; Enterobacterales; Enterobacteriaceae.